CCUACGGGAGGCUGCAGUGGGGAAUAUUGGACAAUGGGGGCAACCCUGAUCCCGCCAUGCCGCGUGUGUGAAGAAGGCCCUCGGGUUGUAAAGCACUUUCAGUGAGGAAGAACGCCUGGUGGUUAAUACCCAUCAGGAAAGACAUCACUCACAGAAGAAGCACCGGCUAACUCCGUGCCAGCAGCCGCGGUAAUACGGAGGGUGCGAGCGUUAAUCGGAAUUACUGGGCGUAAAGCGCGCGUAGGUGGCUUGAUAAGCCGGUUGUGAAAGCCCCGGGCUCAACCUGGGAACGGCAUCCGGAACUGUCAAGCUAGAGUGCAGGAGAGGAAGGUAGAAUUCCCGGUGUAGCGGUGAAAUGCGUAGAGAUCGGGAGGAAUACCAGUGGCGAAGGCGGCCUUCUGGACUGACACUGACACUGAGGUGCGAAAGCGUGGGUAGCAAACAGGAUUAGAUACCCGGGUAGUC
RNAcentral lists this ribosomal RNA (465 nucleotides) under Vreelandella stevensii. Its description in RNAcentral is "partial 16S ribosomal RNA". It matches the Rfam family "Bacterial small subunit ribosomal RNA", at positions 338 to 795 of the family's 1533-position model. The record is from RNAcentral. Lineage: Bacteria; Pseudomonadati; Pseudomonadota; Gammaproteobacteria; Oceanospirillales; Halomonadaceae.